Molecule: ribosomal RNA, 366 nt
Filed under: uncultured bacterium
Lineage: Bacteria
Description: bacterial SSU rRNA
Rfam family: Bacterial small subunit ribosomal RNA
Source: RNAcentral
GUAGGUGGCAAGCGUUGUCCGGAUUUAUUGGGUUUAAAGGGUGCGUAGGCGGUUCCAUAAGUCAGUGGUGAAAUACAAUAGCUUAACUAUUGAGGUGCCAUUGAUACUGCGGAACUUGAGUACAGACGAGGUAGGCGGAAUUACGGUGUAGCGGUGAAAUGCUUAGAUAUCGUCAAGAACACCGAUAGCGAAGGCAGCUUACUAGACUGUAACUGACGCUGAGGCACGAAAGUGUGGGGAUCAAACAGGAUUAGAUACCCUGGUAGUCCACACUGUAAACGAUGAUUACUCGAUGUUGGCGAUACACAGCCAGCGUCUUAGCAAAAGCGAUAAGUAAUCCACCUGGGGAGUACGCCGGCAACGGUG